RNAcentral lists this ribosomal RNA (702 nucleotides) under Bacillus sp. (in: firmicutes). RNAcentral's name for it is "bacterial SSU rRNA". It matches the Rfam family "Bacterial small subunit ribosomal RNA", at positions 76 to 762 of the family's 1533-position model. Lineage: Bacteria; Bacillati; Bacillota; Bacilli; Caryophanales; Bacillaceae. The record is from RNAcentral.
GAGCUUGCUCCCUGAUGUUAGCGGCGGACGGGUGAGUAACACGUGGGUAACCUGCCUGUAAGACUGGGAUAACUCCGGGAAACCGGGGCUAAUACCGGAUGGUUGUUUGAACCGCAUGGUUCAAACAUAAAAGGUGGCUUCGGCUACCACUUACAGAUGGACCCGCGGCGCAUUAGCUAGUUGGUGAGGUAACGGCUCACCAAGGCGACGAUGCGUAGCCGACCUGAGAGGGUGAUCGGCCACACUGGGACUGAGACACGGCCCAGACUCCUACGGGAGGCAGCAGUAGGGAAUCUUCCGCAAUGGACGAAAGUCUGACGGAGCAACGCCGCGUGAGUGAUGAAGGUUUUCGGAUCGUAAAGCUCUGUUGUUAGGGAAGAACAAGUACCGUUCGAAUAGGGCGGUACCUUGACGGUACCUAACCAGAAAGCCACGGCUAACUACGUGCCAGCAGCCGCGGUAAUACGUAGGUGGCAAGCGUUGUCCGGAAUUAUUGGGCGUAAAGGGCUCGCAGGCGGUUUCUUAAGUCUGAUGUGAAAGCCCCCGGCUCAACCGGGGAGGGUCAUUGGAAACUGGGGAACUUGAGUGCAGAAGAGGAGAGUGGAAUUCCACGUGUAGCGGUGAAAUGCGUAGAGAUGUGGAGGAACACCAGUGGCGAAGGCGACUCUCUGGUCUGUAACUGACGCUGAGGAGCGAAAGCGU